CGGUGCCAAGAGGCUUCAGGACUCGCCUACCCGCGCUAUGGACGAUUUUCCUAAAGUUUUCCAGGUUCGGUGCGGGAAAGAAUCGGUCUGGUCUUCUGAGUUGGAGGCUUGCACAAGUUUCUAUGGUCUUUCCUUAAAUGUAAGCCAGCCUUACAUUUAAAAGCCUAAAAAGCCUAAAAAGUAGGCUUUUUAGAGCUGAGUACAUCUUUCCUCAGAGUUCUACCACAGAGGUAGAAAGGCAGGCACCAAAGACCAGCUCACUCGGAUGGGGAGAGGCGGGACACAUGGCCUUAAAAGGAAUUUGCACCCUAGAGAAAAAGAGUCUCAGUGGCACCAAAGGCAGUUGCUUCCCAAGCUUAGGCUGGGAACUUGAGGGCUGACCUCAGAUAGAAGGCUAUCGCACUGUGUGAUGGUCACAGAGACAGCAGGCGCGGCGUGUAAGGUCUAGUCGGUUUGAGUAGGCAGUACCACUAAAGCUAGCAAUUCGUUUUGGUGAACAGCUAGGUCCUUAAAGUGUUAGGGUGGGUGUGGGGAAACGAGGUGGGCGGGGACUAGACUGGACUCUGAGUCACUUGCCAGUGAUAAAUGGAUACAAAGCUCUGUCUAUACCUAGAAGAUAAUCACUAGGGAUAUCAGUGACCCAGAAUAGGAGAAAAACUCAAUUCUGGUCUUUUCUCUAUCCUCAAAGAAGGCAUUUGUGGUGGUUUUACAGGGAAAGUUCCCCCACCCAGACCCCCAGGCUCGGUCUUUUGAAUACCUGGUUUCCAGUUAGAGGUACCUUUUGGGGAGUUGAGGAAAUGUACUUUUGCUGGACAACCAAGUCACUACGGCAGGCUUUGAGAGUUCAAAGACUCCCACCAUUCCUACUUUGCUCUCUGCUUCCUGCUUGUGGUUUGAGAUCUGAGCUAUCGCCUUUCUACCUGCCUUCCACCAUGAUGGUGAUGGCCUCUUACCCCUCUGGAACUGUAGGCUCAAAUCCACACCUCUCUAUUU
This 993-nucleotide long non-coding RNA is filed under the name Mus caroli (Ryukyu mouse). RNAcentral's name for it is "lncRNA (MGP_CAROLIEiJ_G0005677.1)". The record is from RNAcentral. Lineage: Eukaryota; Metazoa; Chordata; Mammalia; Rodentia; Muridae.